CAAAGGAAGCGAUUCCGGCGGGGGAUGGGCAUGCGGCGCAUUAGCUAGUCGGCGGGGUAACGGCCCACCGAGGCGACGAUGCGUAGGGGUUCUGAGAGGAAGGCCCCCCACACUGGUACUGAGACACGGACCAGACUCCUACGGGAGGCAGCAGUGAGGAAUAUUGGUCAAUGGGCGUAAGCCUGAACCAGCCAAGUCGCGUGAGGGAAGACGGUCCUACGGAUUGUAAACCUCUUUUGCCGGGGAGCAACGGGGUCCUUGCGAGGGCCCUAUGAGAGUACCCGGAGAAAAAGCAUCGGCUAACUCCGUGCCAGCAGCCGCGGUAAUACGGAGGAUGCGAGCGUUAUCCGGAUUUAUUGGGUUUAAAGGGUGCGUAGGCGGGCUGUUAAGUCAGCGGUCAAAUGUCGGGGCUCAACCCCGGCCUGCCGUUGAAACUGGCGGCCUCGAGUGGGCGAGAAGUAUGCGGAAUGCGUGGUGUAGCGGUGAAAUGCAUAGAUAUCACGCAGAACUCCGAUUGCGAAGGCAGCAUACCGGCGCCCUACUGACGCUGAGGCACGAAAGCGUGGGUAUCGAACAGGAUUAGAUACCCUGGUAGUCCACGCAGUAAACGAUGAAUGCUAGCUGUCCGGGACUUCGGUUCUGG
Molecule: ribosomal RNA, 643 nt
Filed under: uncultured bacterium
Lineage: Bacteria
Description: bacterial SSU rRNA
Rfam family: Bacterial small subunit ribosomal RNA
Source: RNAcentral